RNAcentral lists this ribosomal RNA (253 nucleotides) under uncultured bacterium. RNAcentral describes it as "partial 16S ribosomal RNA". It matches the Rfam family "Bacterial small subunit ribosomal RNA", at positions 524 to 776 of the family's 1533-position model. The record is from RNAcentral.
UACGUAGGGUGCGAGCGUUAAUCGGAAUUACUGGGCGUAAAGCGUGCGCAGGCGGUUCGCCAAGUCAGGUGUGAAAUCCCCGGGCUUAACCUGGGAAUUGCGCUUGAAACUAGCGGGCUUGAGUGUGGCAGAGGGGGGUGGAAUUCCACGUGUAGCAGUGAAAUGCGUAGAGAUGUGGAAGAACACCGAUGGCGAAGGCAGCCCCCUGGGAUGUGACUGACGCUCAUGUACGAAAGCGUGGGGAGCAAACAGG